Molecule: ribosomal RNA, 652 nt
Filed under: Pseudomonadota bacterium
Lineage: Bacteria; Pseudomonadati; Pseudomonadota
Description: bacterial SSU rRNA
Rfam family: Bacterial small subunit ribosomal RNA
Source: RNAcentral
AACGAACGCUGGCGGCAGGCUUAACACAUGCAAGUCGAACGCGUGUAGCAAUACACGAGUGGCGCACGGGUGAGUAACGCGUGGAUAUCUGCCUUUGGUUCGGAAUAACCCCGGGAAACUGGGGCUAAUACCGGAUGGUUCCUUCGGGAUAAAGAUUUAUCGCCAAAAGAUGAGUCCGCGUACGAUUAGCUAGUUGGUGAGGUAAUGGCUCACCAAGGCGACGAUCGUUAGCUGGUCUGAGAGGACGAUCAGCCACACUGGGACUGAGACACGGCCCAGACUCCUACGGGAGGCAGCAGUGGGGAAUAUUGGACAAUGGGGGCAACCCUGAUCCAGCCAUGCCGCGUGAGUGAUGAAGGCCUUCGGGUUGUAAAGCUCUUUUGGCGGGGACGAUGAUGACGGUACCCGCAGAAUAAGCCCCGGCUAACUUCGUGCCAGCAGCCGCGGUAAGACGAAGGGGGCUAGCGUUGUUCGGAAUUACUGGGCGUAAAGCGCGUGUAGGCGGUUUUCCAAGUUGGGUGUGAAAGCCUUGGGCUUAACCCAAGAAAUGCACUCAGUACUGGAAGACUAGAGGACCGGAGAGGAUAGUGGAAUUCCCAGUGUAGUGGUGAAAUACGUAGAGAUUGGGAAGAACACCAGUGGCGAAGGCGGC